GAUGAACGCUGGCGGCGUGCCUAAUACAUGCAAGUCGAGCGAACAGACGAGGAGCUUUCUCCUCUGACGUUAGCGGCGGACGGGUGAGUAACACGUGGAUAACCUACCUAUAAGACUGGGAUAACUUCGGGAAACCGGAGCUAAUACCGGAUAAUAUAUUGAACCGCAUGGUUCAAUAGUGAAAGACGGUUUUGCUGUCACUUAUAGAUGGAUCCGCGCCGCAUUAGCUAGUUGGUAAGGUAACGGCUUACCAAGGCAACGAUGCGUAGCCGACCUGAGAGGGUGAUCGGCCACACUGGAACUGAGACACGGUCCAGACUCCUACGGGAGGCAGCAGUAGGGAAUCUUGCGCAAUGGGCGAAAGCCUGACGGAGCAACGCCGCGUGAGUGAUGAAGGUCUUCGGAUCGUAAAACUCUGUUAUUAGGGAAGAACAAAUGUGUAAGUAACUAUGCACGUCUUGACGGUACCUAAUCAGAAAGCCACGGCUAACUACGUG
Molecule: ribosomal RNA, 497 nt
Filed under: uncultured bacterium
Lineage: Bacteria
Description: partial 16S ribosomal RNA
Rfam family: Bacterial small subunit ribosomal RNA
Source: RNAcentral